UAGGGUAUGACGAAAUUGGCUUAUCGUGUUUGCUUUGGGUGUAAAAAGUUGUAGGUUCGAAUCCUACUACCCUAA
Molecule: transfer RNA, 75 nt
Filed under: Sebdenia flabellata
Lineage: Eukaryota; Rhodophyta; Florideophyceae; Sebdeniales; Sebdeniaceae
Description: tRNA-Pro
Rfam family: tRNA
About the family: Transfer RNA (tRNA) molecules are approximately 80 nucleotides in length. Their secondary structure includes four short double-helical elements and three loops (D, anti-codon, and T loops).
Source: RNAcentral